GACGAACGCUGGCGGCGUGCUUAACACAUGCAAGUCGAGCGGAAAGGCCCUUUCGGGGGUACUCGAACGGCGAACGGGUGAGUAACACGUGAGUAAUCUGCCCCUGGCUUUGGGAUAGCCACCGGAAACGGUGAUUAAUACCGGAUACGACCACUUCUCGCAUGGGAUGGUGGUGGAAAGUUUUUCGGCCAGGGAUGUGCUCGCGGCCUAUCAGCUUGAUGGUGAGGUAAUGGCUCACCAUGGCUUCGACGGGUAGCCGGCCUGAGAGGGUGACCGGUCACACUGGGACUGAGACACGGCCCAGACUCCGACGGGAGGCAGCAGUGGGGAAUAUUGGACAAUGGGCGGAAGCCUGAUUCAGCAACGCCGCGUGAGGGAUGACGGCCUUCGGGUUGUAAACCUCUUUCAGCAGGGACGAAGCGCAAGUGACGGUACCUGCAGAAGAAGCACCGGCCAACUACGUGCCAGCCGCCGCAGUAA
This 480-nucleotide ribosomal RNA is filed under the name uncultured bacterium. RNAcentral's name for it is "partial 16S ribosomal RNA". It matches the Rfam family "Bacterial small subunit ribosomal RNA", at positions 28 to 523 of the family's 1533-position model. The record is from RNAcentral.